AUUGUCCGCCAGAGAACUACAAGUGAAAAACUAGAAACUCCAAGGACUUGGCGGUGCCCCACAUCAACCUAGAGGAGCCUGUCCUAUAAUCGAUACCCCACGUUAAACCUUACCAUCUUUUGCCCCUCAGCCUAUAUACCGCCGUCGUCAGCCUACCUUGUGAAAGCAAAAUAGUAAGCAAAACAGUUAACAACUAAUACGUCAGGUCAAGGUGUAGCACAUAAGAUGGAAGAGAUGGGCUACACUUUCUACCACAGAACACACGGAUGGCACAAUGAAAGAUGUCCCUAAAGGUGGAUUUAGUAGUAAGAUAAACAAGCAACAUUAUCUUAAACCCGCUCUGGAGCGCGCACACACCGCCCGUCACCCUCAUCAC
This 376-nucleotide ribosomal RNA is filed under the name Amphiglossus astrolabi. RNAcentral describes it as "partial 12S ribosomal RNA". It matches the Rfam family "Bacterial small subunit ribosomal RNA", at positions 864 to 1409 of the family's 1533-position model. Lineage: Eukaryota; Metazoa; Chordata; Lepidosauria; Squamata; Scincidae. The record is from RNAcentral.